CAUCUGACGCGGACGAAAUGUAAAGGAGAAGGAUGGGGAUGCGUCUGAUUAGCUUGUUGGCGGGGUAACAGCCCACCAAGGCGACGAUCAGUAGGGGUUCUGAGAGGAAGGUCCCCCACAUUGGAACUGAGACACGGUCCAAACUCCUACGGGAGGCAGCAGUGAGGAAUAUUGGUCAAUGGGCGAGAGCUUGAACCAGCCAAGUAGCGUGCAGGAUGACGGCCCUAUGGGUUGUAAACUGCUUUUAUGCGGGGAUAAAGUGAGCCACGUGUGGCUUAUUGCAGGUACCGCAUGAAUAAGGACCGGCUAAUUCCGUGCCAGCAGCCGCGGUAAUACGGAAGGUCCGGGCGUUAUCCGGAUUUAUUGGGUUUAAAGGGAGCGUAGGCCGUCUGAUAAGCGUGUUGUGAAAUGUCGGGGCUCAACCUGGGCAUUGCAGCGCGAACUGUGAGACUUGAGUGCGCGGGAAGUAGGCGGAAUUCGUCGUGUAGCGGUGAAAUGCUUAGAUAUGACGAAGAACUCCGAUUGCGAAGGCAGCCUGCUGUAGCGCAACUGACGCUGAAGCUCGAAAGCGUGGGUAUCGAACAGGAUUAGAUACCCUGGUAGUCCACGCGGUAAACGAUGGAUGCUCGCUGUUUGCGUCUGACGUAAGCGGCCAAGCGAAAGCGUUAA
Molecule: ribosomal RNA, 669 nt
Filed under: uncultured Bacteroidota bacterium
Lineage: Bacteria; Pseudomonadati; Bacteroidota
Description: bacterial SSU rRNA
Rfam family: Bacterial small subunit ribosomal RNA
Source: RNAcentral